This 431-nucleotide ribosomal RNA is filed under the name uncultured Labrenzia sp. RNAcentral describes it as "bacterial SSU rRNA". It matches the Rfam family "Bacterial small subunit ribosomal RNA", at positions 29 to 505 of the family's 1533-position model. Lineage: Bacteria; Pseudomonadati; Pseudomonadota; Alphaproteobacteria; Hyphomicrobiales; Stappiaceae. The record is from RNAcentral.
AACGAACGCUGGCGGCAGGCUUAACACAUGCAAGUCGAACGAUCCCUUCGGGGAUAGUGGCAGACGGGUGAGUAACGCGUGGGAACCUACCUUUAGGUACGGAACAACAGUUGGAAACGACUGCUAAUACCGUAUGUGCCCUAUGGGGGAAAGAUUUAUCGCCUAAGGAUGGGCCCGCGUUGGAUUAGCUAGUUGGUGGGGUAAUGGCCUACCAAGGCGACGAUCCAUAGCUGGUCUGAGAGGAUGAUCAGCCACACUGGGACUGAGACACGGCCCAGACUCCUACGGGAGGCAGCAGUGGGGAAUAUUGGACAAUGGGGGCAACCCUGAUCCAGCCAUGCCGCGUGAGUGAUGAAGGCCCUAGGGUUGUAAAGCUCUUUCAGCGAGGAGGAUAAUGACGUUACUCGCAGAAGAAGCCCCGGCUAACUUCG